RNAcentral lists this transfer RNA (66 nucleotides) under Bombus kashmirensis. Its description in RNAcentral is "tRNA-Arg". Lineage: Eukaryota; Metazoa; Arthropoda; Insecta; Hymenoptera; Apidae. The record is from RNAcentral.
AUAUAAGAAGUAAUAUUUACAUUUAAUUUCGACUUAAAAAUAGAUUUAUAAAUAAAUCCUUAUAUU